GACGAACGCUGGCGGCGUGCUUAACACAUGCAAGUCGAACGGAAAGGCCUCUUUCGGGUGGUACUCGAGUGGCGAACUGUUGUGUAACACGUGAGUAACCUGCCCUUUACUUUGUGUUAACUUCAGUAAACUGGUGCUAAUACCGGCUAGGAGCUCCUGCUGCAUUGUGGGGGUUGGAAAGUUUCGGCGGUUGGGGAUGGACUCGCGGCUUAUCAGCUUUUUGGUGGGGUAGUGGGUUACCAAGGCUUUGUCGGGUAUCCGGCCUGAGAGGGUGACCGGCCACAGUGGGACUGAGAUACGGCCCAGACUCCUACGGGAGGAAGCAGUGGGGAAUAAUGAACAAGGGGUGGAAGCCUGAUGCAGAAAAGCCGUGGGCGGGAGGACGGCCUUCGGGUUGUAAAACGAUUUCGCUCAUGACGAAGCUUUGUGUGACGGUAGUGGGUAAAGAAGCACCGGCUAACUACGUG
This 467-nucleotide ribosomal RNA is filed under the name uncultured bacterium. Its description in RNAcentral is "partial 16S ribosomal RNA". It matches the Rfam family "Bacterial small subunit ribosomal RNA", at positions 28 to 507 of the family's 1533-position model. The record is from RNAcentral.